Molecule: ribosomal RNA, 537 nt
Filed under: Rhodococcus sp. KOD8
Lineage: Bacteria; Bacillati; Actinomycetota; Actinomycetes; Mycobacteriales; Nocardiaceae
Description: bacterial SSU rRNA
Rfam family: Bacterial small subunit ribosomal RNA
Source: RNAcentral
CCUACGGGAGGCAGCAGUGGGGAAUAUUGCACAAUGGGCGCAAGCCUGAUGCAGCGACGCCGCGUGAGGGAUGACGGCCUUCGGGUUGUAAACCUCUUUCAGUACCGACGAAGCGCAAGUGACGGUAGGUACAGAAGAAGCACCGGCCAACUACGUGCCAGCAGCCGCGGUAAUACGUAGGGUGCGAGCGUUGUCCGGAAUUACUGGGCGUAAAGAGCUCGUAGGCGGUUUGUCGCGUCGUCUGUGAAAACCCGCAGCUCAACUGCGGGCUUGCAGGCGAUACGGGCAGACUUGAGUACUGCAGGGGAGACUGGAAUUCCUGGUGUAGCGGUGAAAUGCGCAGAUACAGGAGGAACACCGGUGGCGAAGGCGGGUCUCUGGGCAGUAACUGACGCUGAGAGCGAAAGCGUGGGUAGCGAACAGAUUAGAUACCCUGGUAGUCCACGCCGUAAACGGUGGGCGCUAGUGUGGGUUUCCUUCCACGGGUCCGUGCCUACCUAAGCUUUGCGCCCCGGCCGCCCCCGAGACCCACGAUAA